RNAcentral lists this ribosomal RNA (484 nucleotides) under uncultured bacterium. RNAcentral describes it as "partial 16S ribosomal RNA". It matches the Rfam family "Bacterial small subunit ribosomal RNA", at positions 29 to 507 of the family's 1533-position model. The record is from RNAcentral.
AUUGAACGCUGGCGGCAUGCUUUACACAUGCAAGUCGAACGGCAGCGCGGGCUUUGGCCUGGCGGCGAGUGGCGAACGGGUGAGUAAUACAUCGGAACGUGCCCAGUAGUGGGGGAUAGCUCGGCGAAAGCCGGAUUAAUACCGCAUACGACCUGAGGGUGAAAGCGGGGGAUCUUCGGACCUUGCGCUAUUGGAGCGGCCGAUGGCAGAUUAGCUAGUUGGUGGGGUAAAGGCCUACCAAGGCGACGAUCUGUAGCUGGUCUGAGAGGACGACCAGCCACACUGGGACUGAGACACGGCCCAGACUCCUACGGGAGGCAGCAGUGGGGAAUUUUGGACAAUGGGCGAAAGCCUGAUCCAGCAAUGCCGCGUGUGUGAUGAAGGCCUUCGGGUUGUAAAGCACUUUUGGCGGGAACGAAAAGGACUGUGCCAAUACCACGGUUCGAUGACGGUACCCGCAGAAUAAGCACCGGCUAACUACGUG